AGGGGGGGGUUUCAAAGUUGGUGUAGGGGAGAGGACUGGCAGGGCACAGUCCCCUUGGGGCAGGCAAAGGGACGCGUUACUCUUCAGCACGAUGUCAGCGUGUACAGGGCAAGGCAGCUCCAACCUGUGUCUGGCGUGUACUUCAUGUUGUCUGUUUUCCGUGUCUCAGACUGUAUGUUCCUUGGGUCUUGGUGCCUCCAUAGCCUGGUCAUCAGCAGGCACCUCAGUAGCCCUCCCAAGAGUCCGGAAUGCAUCACUUCACAGGCACAGAGCCUGUUGAGCCCUUCUCAUCUCACAAUUACAGCUUGACGCAUGGAUCUCUUUGGCGUGUGUCACAUCCUGGCUGUUUCUGAGCGUUCAUCUCUUGCGGUGGCCAGCCAGGUGCUGCCCGCAGCUCUGCUCUUGAGUCUGCUGUUUCCACAGAGUCAUUUUCUGGGGUUUCAUCCCCAUGUCCUCACUGGUCUUGGGUCUUCAAGCAUGGCUUCUCACACAUCCCUUAUUCUGGUUUUGAUGGCAGCUCUCUCUUGUGUUUGUGGCUGCAAUUGCCUCUCCUUGGCAGGUCUGCUUUAGAGCAUCCGUGCCAUCGUGGCACCGUAGGGCUUCUCUGCCGGCAUAAUCUUCCCUGUGGGAAUCUUUCACUGAGCAAGGACAAGAGACUUAUAGAAAGUUACAAAGGUCUUGUGAAAAAAAGAUCCUGAUCUUGUUGAAACAAGAAGAUGGGGAAGCACGUGCUUUGCUUAAAAUGUGGCAGAAUUGCCGAAGUUGCUGUAGCUGAGUGACCUCUGCUCGUGACAAAAUCAACAAUAUGGAAACCAGACCUUCAGCAUUUAGGCUGUCCACCUCCAACUGAAGACCUACCCACCGUGUGUCCUGUACCUCGCAAUCGGAGUGAGAAAUUCACUAACCAAUCAGAGUAGAGUAACUGUGUAUCUGUAUUAGGUGAAGGAAACUAAUCACAAGUGCAUAAAUGUACAUAGCCUUGCUACUUCAGGGGGCAGCUUUGUGUCUAACCCCCUCUCGCCCUGUGUUUGCCUAAAUUAAUGAAAUAAAUGAAAAUACCUUGGCUCUGUAUAUAUUUUGGCAUCUUGCAUACCAGGUGAAUGACCCCACUUUUGGUAUAACGAGGUAUAACACUCGCGGCGUCCGUGUGUAGUCCUGGUCUGUGUGUGAGGGUUGGAGCUGCCCUGCCCAGGGAUGCAGCAGUACUGAAGAUGACAGGGUAGCGUAGCUUUAUGGGGCUGUGGAAGUAAGUUGGUCUGGACCAAUUCUGUUGGCAGAGACCAUAUGGUCCAUCUCUGGGCAAACAGGUGUAGGCAGCUGCCACGGUUGUGUUCGCUUUUCUUUACGGUCCAGGGCUAGGAUUGGAUCCAGCCACACCUAGACUCCUCUGAGAAGGAGUUUAGAAAGCAAGGGGGUCCAGUCUGAACCUCGUGACUGGUUGGGAGCAGCAGUUAGUGUGGAAGGGGAGCGGGUCAGAUCUGGAAGGUGCCUUAGCUUGCACAGAUGGGGCUCCCUAGCUGGGUUUUCUUCUUCUAGCUGUAGUGAGAAGGUAUAUGCAAAAGGCAGAGAGACCUCUGGCCUCACCAAGCUACCUGUGGCUGUGCAGGUGACUUGCUUUACAGGGUGUGUUUGUGUUGUUUCAGGUGCAGAGCAACAAGCAGCAAGGCCAAGGGCACGGAAGAGGGGAGCAGAGUGCCGGCUGAAGAAGGACAGGCAUCCAGCGCCGGAGUAUCGGCAGGACAGCUGGUGGUUCUGACAAGCUUGAGCUUCUCUGGCUGGAUUUUCUGGGUGCAAAUCCAAGUGUGAAGCGAGAUGUUAUCAGCAGAGCGGCCUCUGGCAAGAUGGAGACAUACAAGUAGCGGUGACCAGAUCUGUGCUUGAAAAUGGACUUGAUGGAGAGUACCAAACUUCUCUUUCAUUGCAGUCUGUAAUGAUUUUUUUGGCCUCAAAUGUUUUUUGUGCUGCUUCUCAAACACGCUUUCCCAGCCUUUUUUUAAAUGUAAGCAGACAUUGAAAGAAAAACCAGCACUAAGAAUAUUGAUGGAGAAAGAAUUGUGCACAAUUUCAGAACUUCACAGACUUCUUUAUAAGACUUACUUAUUUGAACAAGUGACACACUUGUUGCUAAUCAAUUAAUAACGCAUUAUUUUUCACUUCAUAAUGGAGUCACAAGCUGCUGUCACCAGACCCUGGUCUCUGGGAGGCUCUUUGUAGAAAAUCAUGCAUAGGAAUAGGAUCAUCCUCUAGGAAAGCUGGAAACACUGUGGUUCAUAAGUUGGAUUUUUUUGUGGAGUAAAACCUGGCCGUGUUGGGCAAGCCUCUUGGAAAUACCCCUGCUUUCCUAGGAACUUGCUGGAGAAAUCCCAAGGCAGACUGACCAUGACACCUGAAGCAGAUACCAGCCACCGGUGUGUUCAGAUGCUGAACAAAUAUUUCUCAUCCUCCCUUUCAACUGUUGGAAACCUGCCAGAGUUAAAUCCCAUCUUUAAUUUCUGGAGCUUUGCUGUUUUCCUUAUUUUUCUGCCUAAGGUGCAUGAUCUGAGGUGUUAACUUGAACUUGGACUGGAAGAUGCAGUUAAAAUACUCAUCUUUAUGCAGAAAGCAACCAGGGAAGACAUUCUCAAGUCAUCACCUGACUUGGUUUAUUUCUCCAUGCAGAAAAACUCAUAGGUAUGUAAAGCAAAAAGCUCAGGUCUUAAGAGGCAGUAUGGGUUACUUUAAUAUAUGCCAAUUGGUGUGGGGAGAAAUUCAUUCUGUUGUAGUAAAAACAUCUCCAUCUUAAUAGACCUAGCAGACUUUAUUUGUUUACAAAACCUUUAGUACCAAAAAAUACAUUAAUAAAAGAGGCUAGAAAAACAUAUUGGAAAUAUUAGUCUGUACUGGCAAAGGAUUCUUUUAACAAUUUUACGUGAAGAUUUUCCAGAAUUUGGGGGGAGGGGGGGGAGAAAAAGAAAUUUACCUGGAAAACCAUGCUGACUGCAAGAGGAAGAACACCAUUUGGCAUCUGAUUUUUUUUUUUUUUAAACUGACUUUUGUUACCUAACCAAACACUUUCACUUACUGGUUUUAUCAAAGCUACAACAAUUGUGAGAACAUCCCACACUAAUAUGAAAUUAGUUUGUUGUCUAAUCAAAAAUACUUUAAAAUAACCUCUGUCUCUGAGCAGGGCUUGGCCUGCUAAACUCACAGCUCUGAUCUUGAGGGAAUGAGUCCUCAGAGAAGAGCAGGGACAGGACUGAUGUCAUUCACAACAUUUUUCCCUGGCUGCCUGGAGCCUGAUAGCUGGUUCCAGCUCUUCUACCUUCAGCAGGGAUCAGUGGGAAUCUCAGCAGGAGGUUUAAACACCCCCCUCUGUCUCCCAGCAAAGGUCUGCUGUUGUGUGUUCACAUCUCCUUCACACUUUCCCUGCUCCUGCAUUUUCUCCAAGAUCUUUUCUCCUCCUCUUUUGAGGAAGAUGCCAGAGUGACAGUAACAAAAGCUGGAACUUUUGGUAAAAAUACAUUCAGUAUUUCUGCAUGUCAUGGACUUCUAGGCAGUGUUAGGUGCUUGCUACAGCUACAGCCAUCUCCAGGUUUUCUCUUAACUUUCUGCAAGGGAGCUGUGCACAGUGGUAAAUAGCAUGAUGCAAAUCAGACUCACCAUAAACUCCUGUGAGAUGGGCAGUUGUUGUACAGAGCAUCUUUGAAAGGGGAGCAAAAGCAAAGCUCAAGGGAUGACAUGAUACCUCUCUAAUGGUUUCCUGACUGAUUUGCAUGUAUGCAGAUUUAUGCAUUCUGUUUGUAUGUACUUGUUUCCCAAAGCUCUGUAUGAUUCAUUUAUUUCAUCCUGGUUUUGUAGUAGCUUGAAAUUUAUCCAUGCACUGUUCAGUAUCUGGUCCUAUUGCCCUCAAAAGUGUUGAGGUUCCUCAAUCACAUUCAGCUGUUCCCCCUAAAUGACUUCUUCAGGAUCAGGUUGGAAGCACCUGAGGAACAGAAACAGUCUUUUCUUAUGCUGUACUGACAGGUACAUUUUCACU
Molecule: long non-coding RNA, 4015 nt
Organism: Apus apus (common swift)
Lineage: Eukaryota; Metazoa; Chordata; Aves; Apodiformes; Apodidae
Exons: 3
Source: RefSeq, a predicted model, not a curated record